RNAcentral lists this unclassified non-coding RNA (195 nucleotides) under plant metagenome. RNAcentral's name for it is "partial contains small subunit ribosomal RNA, internal transcribed spacer 1, and 5.8S ribosomal RNA". The record is from RNAcentral.
UCUCCGUUAGCGAACCAGCGGAGGGAUCAUUACCGAGUUUACAACUCCCAAACCCCUGUGAACAUACCAUUUGUUGCCUCGGCGGUGCCUGCUUCGGCAGCCCGCCAGAGGACCCAAACCCUUGAUUCUAUACAGUAUCUUCUGAGUAAAUGAUUAAAUAAAUCAAAACUUUCAACAACGGAUCUCUUGGUUCUG